This 253-nucleotide ribosomal RNA is filed under the name uncultured bacterium. RNAcentral's name for it is "partial 16S ribosomal RNA". It matches the Rfam family "Bacterial small subunit ribosomal RNA", at positions 524 to 776 of the family's 1533-position model. The record is from RNAcentral.
UACGUAGGGUGCGAGCGUUGUCCGGAAUUACUGGGCGUAAAGAGCUCGUAGGUGGUUUGUCGCGUUGUCCGUGAAAACUCACAACUCAAUUGUGGGCGUGCGGGCGAUACGGGCAGACUGGAGUACUGCAGGGGAGACUGGAAUUCCUGGUGUAGCGGUGGAAUGCGCAGAUAUCAGGAGGAACACCGAUGGCGAAGGCAGGUCUCUGGGCCGAUACUGACGCUGAGGAGCGAAAGCCAGGGGAGCAAACGGG